UGUUCACAUCUAUGGAUAUCAGAAAGAGCAGAUUACAGUUGUCCAAAUAUUAUAAACAAGUCUGUAUUGUGAUGGUCAAAUGGCUAUUUCUUUGCUUUCGGCACACUCUUGAGCACCAUAUGCUGGCUUAGUUUUGCUCUUGAAGCACUUGUGAGUGUCGAUAUUUCACCAGAAUCACUGGCAGAUUCAUCAUUAUUUAAUAGGCAAUUGUACAAUAUUAACGUUCCCAACAUGGCCGACAUCUUCGCUAACAGUUGAUGAAGAUUUUGUCAUUUCACGCUUGUGUUUUCAUACUCAACUAACGCCACGACUUUCCCUUGACUUUCGUUAAACACUUCUUUUCGUUUUCCCAACCAUUCAACCAACAAUUACGCAUUGAAAAGCUCGCCAAACUAGGAAAAUUUUUUCUGAAAUCAACUGGCAUCAGUGAACG
Molecule: non-coding RNA, 433 nt
Organism: Paramuricea clavata
Lineage: Eukaryota; Metazoa; Cnidaria; Anthozoa; Malacalcyonacea; Plexauridae
Source: the annotation of a GenBank genome assembly